This 505-nucleotide ribosomal RNA is filed under the name uncultured bacterium. RNAcentral's name for it is "partial 16S ribosomal RNA". It matches the Rfam family "Bacterial small subunit ribosomal RNA", at positions 28 to 507 of the family's 1533-position model. The record is from RNAcentral.
GACGAACGCUGGCGGCGUGCCUAAUACAUGCAAGUAGAACGCACAGUUUAUACCGUAGCUUGCUACACCAUAGACUGUGAGUUGCGAACGGGUGAGUAACGCGUAGGUAACCUGCCUGGUAGCGGGGGAUAACUAUUGGAAACGAUAGCUAAUACCGCAUAAUAUUAAUUAUUGCAUGAUAAUUAAUUGAAAGGUGCAAUUGCACCACUACCAGAUGGACCUGCGUUGUAUUAGCUAGUAGGUGAGGUAACGGCUCACCUAGGCGACGAUACAUAGCCGACCUGAGAGGGUGAUCGGCCACACUGGGACUGAGACACGGCCCAGACUCCUACGGGAGGCAGCAGUAGGGAAUCUUCGGCAAUGGACGAAAGUCUGACCGAGCAACGCCGCGUGAGUGAAGAAGGUUUUCGGAUCGUAAAGCUCUGUUGUAAGAGAAGAACGGGUGUGAGAGUGGAAAGUUCACACUGUGACGGCAUCUUACCAGAAAGGGACGGCUAACUACGUG